AUUGAACGCUGGCGGCAGGCCUAACACAUGCAAGUCGAGCGGAUGAAGGGAGCUUGCUCCUGGAUUCAGCGGCGGACGGGUGAGUAAUGCCUAGGAAUCUGCCUGGUAGUGGGGGAUAACGUCCGGAAACGGGCGCUAAUACCGCAUACGUCCUGAGGGAGAAAGUGGGGGAUGUUCGGACCUCACGCUAUCAGAUGAGCCUAGGUCGGAUUAGCUAGUUGGUGGGGUAAAGGCCUACCAAGGCGACGAUCCGUAACUGGCCUGAGAGGAUGAUCAGUCACACUGGAACUGGGACACGGUCCAGACUCCUAAGGGAGGCAGCAGUGGGGAAUAUUGGACAAUGGGCGAAAGCCUGAUCCAGCCAUGCCGCGUGUGUGAAGAAGGUCUUCGGAUUGUAAAGCACUUUAAGUUGGGAGGAAGGGCAGUAAGUUAAUACCUUGCUGUUUUGACGUUACCAACAGAAUAAGCACCGGCUAACUUCGUG
RNAcentral lists this ribosomal RNA (484 nucleotides) under uncultured bacterium. RNAcentral's name for it is "partial 16S ribosomal RNA". It matches the Rfam family "Bacterial small subunit ribosomal RNA", at positions 30 to 507 of the family's 1533-position model. The record is from RNAcentral.